GGACGAACGCUGGCGGCGUGCCUAACACAUGCAAGUCGAGCGGAGUUAACAAGAGGAAGUUUCGGAUGGAAUUUGUUAAUUAGCGGCGGACGGGUGAGUAACGCGUGAGCGACCAACCUUGCACAGGGGGAUAACGGACCGAAAGGUUCACUAAUACCGCAUGAGACCACGGUGUUGCAUGACACAGAGGUCAAAGGAGCAAUCCGGUGCAAGACGGGCUCGCGUCCGAUUAGGUAGUUGGUGGGUAAUGGCCCACCAAGCCUAUGAUCGGUAGCCGACCUGAGAGGGUGAUCGGCCACAUUGGAACUGAGAUACGGUCCAAACUCCUACGGGAGGCAGCAGUGGGGAAUAUUGGGCCAAUGGGGGAAACCCUGACCCAGCAACGCCGCGUGAAGGAAGAAGGUUUUCGGAUUGUAAACUUCUGUCCUUGGUGAAGAGAAGAAGACGGUAGCCAAGGAGGAAGCCCCGGCUAACUACGUGCCAGCCGCCGC
RNAcentral lists this ribosomal RNA (491 nucleotides) under uncultured bacterium. RNAcentral's name for it is "bacterial SSU rRNA". It matches the Rfam family "Bacterial small subunit ribosomal RNA", at positions 27 to 518 of the family's 1533-position model. The record is from RNAcentral.